GACGAACGCUGGCGGCGUGCCUAACACAUGCAAGUCGAGCGAGUGAAUCUCCUUCGGGAGUGAAACUAGCGGCGAACGGGUGAGUAACACGUGGGCAACCUGCCUCAUAGAGGGGAAUAGCCUUUCGAAAGGAAGAUUAAUACCGCAUAAGAUUGUAGCUUCGCAUGAAGUAGCAAUUAAAGGAGUAAUCCGCUAUGAGAUGGGCCCGCGGCGCAUUAGCUAGUUGGUGAGGUAACGGCUCACCAAGGCGACGAUGCGUAGCCGACCUGAGAGGGUGAUCGGCCACAUUGGGACUGAGACACGGCCCAGACUCCUACGGGAGGCAGCAGUGGGGAAUAUUGCACAAUGGGGGAAACCCUGAUGCAGCAACGCCGCGUGAGUGAUGACGGCCUUCGGGUUGUAAAGCUCUGUCUUCAGGGACGAUAAUGACGGUACCUGAGGAGGAAGCCACGGCUAACUACGUGCCAGCCGCCGCCGUAA
This 480-nucleotide ribosomal RNA is filed under the name uncultured bacterium. Its description in RNAcentral is "partial 16S ribosomal RNA". It matches the Rfam family "Bacterial small subunit ribosomal RNA", at positions 28 to 523 of the family's 1533-position model. The record is from RNAcentral.